AGCUCGAUGAGUAGGGCGGGACACGUGGUAUCCUGUCUGAAUAUGGGGGGCCCAUCCUCCAAGGCUAAAUACUCCUGACUGACCGAUAGUGAACCAGUACCGUGAGGGAAAGGCGAAAAGAACCCCGGCGAGGGGAGUGAAAAAGAACCUGAAACCGUGUACGUACAAGCAGUGGGAGCACGCUUAGGCGUGUGACUGCGUACCUUUUGUAUAAUGGGUCAGCGACUUAUAUUCUGUAGCAAGGUUAACCGAAUAGGGGAGCCGAAGGGAAACCGAGUCUUAACUGGGCGUUAAGUUGCAGGGUAUAGACCCGAAACCCGGUGAUCUAGCCAUGGGCAGGUUGAAGGUUGGGUAACACUAACUGGAGGACCGAACCGACUAAUGUUGAAAAAUUAGCGGAUGACUUGUGGCUGGGGGUGAAAGGCCAAUCAAACCGGGAGAUAGCUGGUUCUCCCCGAAAGCUAUUUAGGUAGCGCCUCGUGAAUUCAUCUCCGGGGGUAGAGCACUGUUUCGGCAAGGGGGUCAUCCCGACUUACCAACCCGAUGCAAACUGCGAAUACCGGAGAAUGUUAUCACGGGAGACACACGGCGGGUGCUAACGUCCGUCGUGAAGAGGGAAACAACCCAGACCGCCAGCUAAGGUCCCAAAGUCAUGGUUAAGUGGGAAACGAUGUGGGAAGGCCCAGACAGCCAGGAUGUUGGCUUAGAAGCAGCCAUCAUUUAAAGAAAGCGUAAUAGCUCACUGGUCGAGUCGGCCUGCGCGGAAGAUGUAACGGGGCUAAACCAUGCACCGAAGCUGCGGCAGCGACGCUUAUGCGUUGUUGGGUAGGGGAGCGUUCUGUAAGCCUGCGAAGGUGUGCUGUGAGGCAUGCUGGAGGUAUCAGAAGUGCGAAUGCUGACAUAAGUAACGAUAAAGCGGGUGAAAAGCCCGCUCGCCGGAAGACCAAGGGUUCCUGUCCAACGUUAAUCGGGGCAGGGUGAGUCGACCCCUAAGGCGAGGCCGAAAGGCGUAGUCGAUGGGAAACAGGUUAAUAUUCCUGUACUUGGUGUUACUGCGAAGGGGGGACGGAGAAGGCUAUGUUGGCCGGGCGACGGUUGUCCCGGUUUAAGCGUGUAGGCUGGUUUUCCAGGCAAAUCCGGAAAAUCAAGGCUGAGGCGUGAUGACGAGGCACUACGGUGCUGAAGCAACAAAUGCCCUGCUUCCAGGAAAAGCCUCUAAGCAUCAGGUAACAUCAAAUCGUACCCCAAACCGACACAGGUGGUCAGGUAGAGAAUACCAAGGCGCUUGAGAGAACUCGGGUGAAGGAACUAGGCAAAAUGGUGCCGUAACUUCGGGAGAAGGCACGCUGAUAUGUAGGUGAAGUCCCUUGCGGAUGGAGCUGAAAUCAGUCGAAGAUACCAGCUGGCUGCAACUGUUUAUUAAAAACACAGCACUGUGCAAACACGAAAGUGGACGUAUACGGUGUGACGCCUGCCCGGUGCCGGAAGGUUAAUUGAUGGGGUCAGCGCAAGCGAAGCUCUUGAUCGAAGCCCCGGUAAACGGCGGCCGUAACUAUAACGGUCCUAAGGUAGCGAAAUUCCUUGUCGGGUAAGUUCCGACCUGCACGAAUGGCGUAAUGAUGGCCAGGCUGUCUCCACCCGAGACUCAGUGAAAUUGAACUCGCUGUGAAGAUGCAGUGUACCCGCGGCAAGACGGAAAGACCCCGUGAACCUUUACUAUAGCUUGACACUGAACAUUGAGCCUUGAUGUGUAGGAUAGGUGGGAGGCUUUGAAGUG
Molecule: ribosomal RNA, 1777 nt
Filed under: Shigella sonnei
Lineage: Bacteria; Pseudomonadati; Pseudomonadota; Gammaproteobacteria; Enterobacterales; Enterobacteriaceae
Description: partial 23S ribosomal RNA
Rfam family: Bacterial large subunit ribosomal RNA
Source: RNAcentral